Molecule: ribosomal RNA, 506 nt
Filed under: uncultured Oscillibacter sp.
Lineage: Bacteria; Bacillati; Bacillota; Clostridia; Eubacteriales; Oscillospiraceae
Description: partial 16S ribosomal RNA
Source: RNAcentral
UACGUAGUUAGCCGUGGCUUAUUCAAGGGGUACCGUCUUCCGCUCUUCCCCCUUAAAAGAAGUUUACAACCCGAAAGCCUUCUUCCUUCACGCGGCGUUGCUGGGUCAGACUUGCGUCCAUUGCCCAAUAUUCCCCACUGCUGCCUCCCGUAGGAGUCUGGGCCGUAUCUCAGUCCCAAUGUGGCCGGCCGACCUCUCAGUCCGGCUACUGAUCGUCGCCUUGGGUCGGGCCGUUACCUCACCAACUAGCUAAUCAGACGCGAGGCCAUCUUCCAGCGAUAAAUCUUUGACGUCAGAGUCAUGCGGCUCCAACGCAUCAUGCGGUAUUAGCAGUCGUUUCCAACUGUUCGUCCCCCUCUGGAAGGCAGGUUCCUCACGCGUUACUCACCAGUCCGCCACUAAGCAUUCCCAUCCGUUGUACCGAAAACUCCUUCAGGGUGCUCCGUUCGACUUGCAUGUGUUAAGCACGCCGCCAGCGUUCGUCCUGCGCCAGGACUCAAACUCCU